This 328-nucleotide ribosomal RNA is filed under the name uncultured eukaryote. Its description in RNAcentral is "partial 18S ribosomal RNA". It matches the Rfam family "Eukaryotic small subunit ribosomal RNA", at positions 1470 to 1796 of the family's 1831-position model. The record is from RNAcentral.
CCCUUAGAUGUCCUGGGCUGCACGCGCGCUACACUGAUGCGCUCAACGAGUUUACGAUCUUGCCUGAAAUGGCUGGGUAAUCUUUUUAAAACGCAUCGUGACGGGGAUAGAUUAUUGCAAUUAUUAAUCUUCAACGAGGAAUGCCUAGUAGGCGCAAGUCAUCAGCUUGCGUCGAUUACGUCCCUGCCCUUUGUACACACCGCCCGUCGCUCCUACCGAUUGGGUGUGCUGGUGAAAUGUUCGGAUCGGCCGUUUGUCGCGGUUUCCGCGGCUCGUGGCUGAGAAGUUCAUUAAACCCUCCCACCUAGAGGAAGGAGAAGUCGUAACA